Molecule: long non-coding RNA, 708 nt
Organism: Patiria miniata (bat star)
Lineage: Eukaryota; Metazoa; Echinodermata; Asteroidea; Valvatida; Asterinidae
Exons: 2
Source: RefSeq, a predicted model, not a curated record
UCUAAACUUCGCUGUGUGCAGUCCUGUGUGCAGUCCUGUGUGAGUACAUGUACAUGUACAUGUACAUGUAUAUACAGUGGUACUGUGUGUACCAGGGCGUGGCCCAUGAUUUAAAAAGCCAGUUUAUCCUGCAAACUGGCUUUUCCCUGUGGGAAUAGAGAAUUCCUAGGUUCUUGGUGAACCAGAUAGCUUGUUCUGUGUGAACAACAGUUAGCCAACUCCCAAGACUAGCUCACGGUCUACCGAGAGAGUCAGGAGGAAUAUUCGGAACCGAGUCCUGUGUGGACCGUCAGGCAUCGAGCCAGAUUCCAAGGCCCGGAGAGGUAACCCAAGUUCCCCAAGCCCGGAGUUCAUCCGCCUUAGUGGGAUCGUCAAAGCGCCGGAGGGAUGUUGUGUGUGUGACUGGUGCUCCAAAUCGACCACCCGUGUCACAAGUGUGAGCUUUGAACACAGCAAGUCCUUCAAAAGGUUUUGAACAGUGACUGUUUAGGGGGGUGAUUGCAUUUGUUUUGGGGUAUUGGAAACGGCCGUAUAACACAUAAUACAGGAUCCUUAUAAUGCCAUGAUAUAGUUGAGUAUCCGUCACUCAAAGUAUAAGUAAUUCAUAUAGUGGCAUAAUUCAAUUGAAAUAAUUUGUACAUAGUAAAUUUCCGUUUGUUUAAUAUAUUUAUUUGUCGUAAUUAAAUAGUAUUUUGUCUUGAUCAUACA